UUCAGACGACGGAUUUCCAAACGCAUGGCUCUUCCCUCUUUCGAACGGGCGAUCUUCAUCGCCAGAGCUCUUCCCUCUUCCGAACGGCGCAAUCUUCCUCGCCAGAGGUCUGAAUCCUUGAAGAAUUUCCUCGUGCCAUGCAGAUUCAUCUCAACUAGAUUCUUUUCAAGUAUCCUCCCAGGAAAGAGCUUUGCCGCAAAUGACAUGUUUGGUUUCGAUCUGUUCAGACCAGGCAAAGCUGGAUUGAGGAAAUCAAUCAACAGCAAGCAGAAGCACUAGAUGCCCAACUGACGGUUGAGCAGCUUCAACAACGAUAUCAGUUGCUCACGGUCCAAAAUGAGAUGUUGAAGUUGGUUGCAGUAUGCUGAGCGGAUUCCUAUUGGGUUGGAAAAGGUGAUUCGAACCGUUUCUUCUGAAACGGUCAAACAAUAUGGUUGUGGUAGCUGUUGGAGAUUUUACUGAUACACAUGUUUGAAUUGGUCAGAUUCAGAUUUCCCUCUUAAAAUGAUAAAUAUUUUUUUCAGCCUGCCACCACUAAUGGUAAGCAACAAGAUUCUCUGCUAGAACUUUCCCUUUACAUUUGGUUUGUCAUGUUGAGUUGUGCUUCCAUUCUAUGGAUUUCUCCUCAUGGUGUUCAUUUCCUCAUGCUUGCAGAUAGGAUCCACAGCAAAAUGGGUGAAGGUUAGUUUCUGCAACCAACAUAAUCUGAAAACCUCCCCUUGUCUACUUGCAUGGUACUUUCAGCAGUGUGUGCCUUUAGAAGCACAGCUUGUAACCAGUUUGGCUGCCUGAUUGGUAGUUCCAAAUGCAAGAUCAUGCAUCUGGAGAAUGCUGUACCCCUGAGUAUGUUUACAGUGAAUCCAAUUGAGUCCUUGAGUUUCUUUUCCUCAGCAAAUUAGUGUAUGAAAGCAGUCCUAUUAAUGUAUAUAUGUAUUGAUAUAUUUG
RNA transcript from Magnolia sinica, 945 nucleotides. RefSeq lists it as uncharacterized. The transcript has 4 exons. The record is from RefSeq and is a predicted model, not a curated record. NCBI's taxonomy places the organism in Eukaryota, Viridiplantae, Streptophyta, Magnoliopsida, Magnoliales, Magnoliaceae.